UUAUAAAUGGUUGAAUCAUGUAGUGUACUUUGUGUGUACUUGUUAAGUAAAACUCAAAGAAGUGCGAAGCUUCGUGGGCUCCACUGUUCCCGUACUGAAAGCUGGAUACCGGUUAUACACUGGAGAUAUGUGAGUUAUUUCUUCUGGUUGGAUUUAUUGUUCUUAUUAAUUGUACGAAGAAAUUUUUUUUAAUAAGUUUAUGCGGUAAAUAAGUAAAUUAAAAUUAAAAUACAUACAAUAGACUCAAAUCUUAAAUCUCCAAUCCGUUAAUAGGGAUUGUGGUCGACUAAACUAAUCGAGCUGUGUGUAAAUAGAGAUCCUUGAUGGAAGAGAUUUUGAAGAGGUCAUUCUAUCCAUUGGUAAAACAUGGAUAGGAUAUUGGAUAGAUUCGGAUGAGGUAGGUGAGGACUAUGUAAGGUUUUUCACCUGGCCAAAUUCGACGUUUUUAAAUGGGGUGGGAAUUUCUCCAGAUUUAAUAAGCAGGCGAACCUCCUCCUCUGUCAUGCUGGUUUUAGCUGCUAGAUCAACUUUGGCGGCUGCACUGUUGCACUGCUUCUUUUUCUCAAUUUCAACAGCCCAGCUGUAUAUUAUCAUGCCAAUGACAGCUAGGGCCAUUCCCAUUAUGUUUUUGAACGUCAUUUCGGAAUCAAAGAGAAGCCAACCAAGUAUAAGGACACAGACAGUUUUCAUAUGACCUAAUACUUGGAAUGAGACUGCAGAGAACCGGCCAAUGCACAUGUACUGGCUAAUAUUGCAGAAUACCGCUAGACAACAUGAAAGUAGUAUGAAGAUCUGCAUUGAAGUUAUGUCAAAACAUGAUCCACAAGAAAAUGAUUUUUUGCAACUUUCUUAUGAAAAUUGAAAACGACUUACAAUCGGUCCGUAUGUGAAUUUGUAGUUCAGUAUGAACUUUCCAUUUAGAUAGAAAUCUGUAAAUGGACCGAGAAUCAGAAGAGAGAAUGCUUGAAUUGGUGCUGUUCUGCUCAGUAGUUCAAAAGAUCCAACAGAGUAUUUUUUCUGCAAUGACCCAAUGGACUGAAGAGACAAUAAAACAUCAAUAAGUUAUUCAAAUCCAGGAAUAAGCUACCAUGGAAGUUAUUGUAAAGAUCAUCAUUUUGUCAGUAAAGAACAAAUAAGCUACCAUGGAAGUUGAAACUGGUCAGGAUAAGGUUUCAAAUUCAGCAGAACAUACAAUCAGUUGAUAGAAACUAUAGAACAACGAUAAUUUAUAGAUUCAUAAAGCAUGUAGAAUUUCUUUCAGUUAUUUAGAAUAAAUGUUUUUUUUAUUACAGACAAAUAAUUACAGUUCUUAAUUGUUUUACUCUUAUAGUCUUGUAGAUAGAUUUUCUUUAACAACAUUAAAAAAUGUGUGGAGCCUGAUGAGUAGGUAGUCAACAUACUCCCUGCCCAACAAUCCCAAGAUAUGUCCAACAACUACAAAUUGUAUCCCUUAUCCGGUGUAUUGUCCGGUCAGACUGUCUCAUCACCACCAAGACUGCCAUGUCAUCACUCAAAUCUCGCCAGGACUUGGGCUUGAUUAACAAUGCCCACCAAACCCACAUGCAAUCAAGGCUCUACCAUUCGAUUGAAAAUAUAUAUUAUCAUCAUAAAAAAAUUAUAAAUAGAUACCGAAACCUCCAACAAGAAUUCUACAACUAGAGUCUAGGAGCUCUCACUUUCACAACCCGUCCGCACUAACCUACUGGCUACUAGAGACAAGAACAGCAUGGGAAACCCCCACUCCACUGAUUACUCAAGGAGAUGGAAUUUAUUCAGGUCAAAUCUCAUUUUCAAUUGCCCAAACCCUUGGUCAACCAAUCAGAUAAGAAACUCUAACCCGUUGGGAAACUUUUUCGAUAAUUCGACUCUACAACCAGGGGUGGAUUACACUGAAGCCCUUGCUAGGGCCAUAGCCCAGGGUCAUUAGUGGAAGAGCAAAAUCUAUACACAUACUAAUUUAGAAAGAAAGAUAUAAAUUUAAAAUUAAGAUACUAAUUUAAAACACUUGUUUUGAUUUUUCAUUGUCAGCCUUAUCAUAUUAUUUUUUCCAAAACUGUUCUUUGGUUCAAUUUUUAGGGCUAUUCAGUAAAAAAAUGCCUCCGGGCUCAGGUGAGAGGGGAAACACCCCCAAAUUCAUUUGAAUCCUAGAUCCACCACUGUCUAAGACAGGACACUACUAUGGUGAUAUGGCUGCAUUUGAUCCGAACAUCAAUCAAUGUGCUAUUGUGCUUAGUGCAUACUAUUUUAUAAAGAAGCAGAUUCACUGUUAUGUCUAAUUCCAA
RNAcentral lists this long non-coding RNA (2282 nucleotides) under Zostera marina. RNAcentral describes it as "long non-coding RNA (ZMAR_LNC006165)". The record is from RNAcentral. Lineage: Eukaryota; Viridiplantae; Streptophyta; Magnoliopsida; Alismatales; Zosteraceae.